CAGGGAAUAGUUUAGUUAGAAUUCAGCUUUGGGUGCUGAUGGCGGAGUUAGUCUCCUUCCUUG
Molecule: transfer RNA, 63 nt
Filed under: Sus scrofa domesticus (domestic pig)
Lineage: Eukaryota; Metazoa; Chordata; Mammalia; Artiodactyla; Suidae
Description: tRNA-Pro
Source: RNAcentral